GGUUAAGCGACUAAGCGUACACGGUGGAUGCCCUGGCAGUCAGAGGCGAUGAAGGACGUGCUAAUCUGCGAAAAGCGUCGGUAAGGUGAUAUGAACCGUUACAGCCGGCGAUGUCCGAAUGGGGAAACCCAGUGCAAUUCGUUGCACUAUCGUUAACUGAAUACAUAGGUUAACGAGGCGAACCGGGGGAACUGAAACAUCUAAGUACCCCGAGGAAAAGAAAUCAACCGAGAUUCCCCCAGUAGCGGCGAGCGAACGGGGAGCAGCCCAGAGUCUGAAUCAGCUUGUGUGUUAGUGGAACGGUCUGGAAAGUCCGACGGUACAGGGUGAUAGUCCCGUACACCAAAAUGCACAGGCUGUGAACUCGAAGAGUAGGGCGGGACACGUGGUAUCCUGUCUGAAUAUGGGGGGACCAUCCUCCAAGGCUAAAUACUCCUGACUGACCGAUAGUGAACCAGUACCGUGAGGGAAAGGCGAAAAGAACCCCGGCGAGGGGAGUGAAAAAGAACCUGAAACCGUGUACGUACAAGCAGUGGGAGCACCUUCGGGUGUGACUGCGUACCUUUUGUAUAAUGGGUCAGCGACUUAUAUUCUGUAGCAAGGUUAACCGUAUAGGGGAGCCGCAGGGAAACCGAGUCUUAACUGGGCGUUAAGUUGCAGGGUAUAGACCCGAAACCCGGUGAUCUAGCCAUGGGCAGGUUGAAGGUUGGGUAACACUAACUGGAGGACCGAACCGACUAAUGUUGAAAAAUUAGCGGAUGACUUGUGGCUGGGGGUGAAAGGCCAAUCAAACCGGGAGAUAGCUGGUUCUCCCCGAAAGCUAUUUAGGUAGCGCCUCGUGAAUUCAUCUUCGGGGGUAGAGCACUGUUUCGGCUAGGGGGUCAUCCCGACUUACCAACCCGAUGCAAACUACGAAUACCGAAGAAUGUUAUCACGGGAGACACACGGCGGGUGCUAACGUCCGUCGUGAAGAGGGAAACAACCCAGACCGCCAGCUAAGGUCCCAAAGUCACAGUUAAGUGGGAAACGAUGUGGGAAGGCACAGACAGCCAGGAUGUUGGCUUAGAAGCAGCCAUCAUUUAAAGAAAGCGUAAUAGCUCACUGGUCGAGUCGGCCUGCGCGGAAGAUGUAACGGGGCUAAACUGUGCACCGAAGCUGCGGCAGCGACACUAUGUGUUGUUGGGUAGGGGAGCGUUCUGUAAGCCUGCGAAGGUGGCCUGUGAGGGUUGCUGGAGGUAUCAGAAGUGCGAAUGCUGACAUAAGUAACGAUAAUGCGGGUGAAAAGCCCGCACGCCGGAAGACCAAGGGUUCCUGUCCAACGUUAAUCGGGGCAGGGUGAGUCGACCCCUAAGGCGAGGCCGAAAGGCGUAGUCGAUGGGAAACAGGUUAAUAUUCCUGUACUUGGUGUUACUGCGAAGGGGGGACGGAGAAGGCUAUGUUAGCCGGGCGACGGUUGUCCCGGUUUAAGCAUGUAGGCGGAGGUUCCAGGUAAAUCCGGUACCUUUUAACGCUGAGGUGUGAUGACGAGGCACUACGGUGCUGAAGUAACAAAUGCCCUGCUUCCAGGAAAAGCCUCUAAGCAUCAGGUAACAUUGAAUCGUACCCCAAACCGACACAGGUGGUCAGGUAGAGAAUACCAAGGCGCUUGAGAGAACUCGGGUGAAGGAACUAGGCAAAAUGGUGCCGUAACUUCGGGAGAAGGCACGCUGAUAUGUAGGUGAAGUCCCUGCGGGUGGAGCUGAAAUCAGUCGAAGAUACCAGCUGGCUGCAACUGUUUAUUAAAAACACAGCACUGUGCAAACACGAAAGUGGACGUAUACGGUGUGACGCCUGCCCGGUGCCGGAAGGUUAAUUGAUGGGGUUAUCCGUAAGGAGAAGCUCUUGAUCGAAGCCCCGGUAAACGGCGGCCGUAACUAUAACGGUCCUAAGGUAGCGAAAUUCCUUGUCGGGUAAGUUCCGACCUGCACGAAUGGCGUAAUGAUGGCCAGGCUGUCUCCACCCGAGACUCAGUGAAAUUGAACUCGCUGUGAAGAUGCAGUGUACCCGCGGCAAGACGGAAAGACCCCGUGAACCUUUACUAUAGCUUGACACUGAACAUUGAGCCUUGAUGUGUAGGAUAGGUGGGAGGCUUUGAAGCGUGGACGCCAGUCUGCGUGGAGCCAACCUUGAAAUACCACCCUUUAAUGUUUGAUGUUCUAACGUUGGCCCCUAAUCGGGGUUGCGGACAGUGUCUGGUGGGUAGUUUGACUGGGGCGGUCUCCUCCCAAAGAGUAACGGAGGAGCACGAAGGUUAGCUAAUCCUGGUCGGACAUCAGGAGGUUAGUGCAAUGGCAUAAGCUAGCUUGACUGCGAGCGUGACGGCGCGAGCAGGUGCGAAAGCAGGUCAUAGUGAUCCGGUGGUUCUGAAUGGAAGGGCCAUCGCUCAACGGAUAAAAGGUACUCCGGGGAUAACAGGCUGAUACCGCCCAAGAGUUCAUAUCGACGGCGGUGUUUGGCACCUCGAUGUCGGCUCAUCACAUCCUGGGGCUGAAGUAGGUCCCAAGGGUAUGGCUGUUCGCCAUUUAAAGUGGUACGCGAGCUGGGUUUAGAACGUCGUGAGACAGUUCGGUCCCUAUCUGCCGUGGGCGCUGGAGAAUUGAGGGGGGCUGCUCCUAGUACGAGAGGACCGGAGUGGACGCAUCACUGGUGUUCGGGUUGUCAUGCCAAUGGCAUUGCCCGGUAGCUAAAUGCGGAAGAGAUAAGUGCUGAAAGCAUCUAAGCACGAAACUUGCCCCGAGAUGAGUUCUCCCUGAGACUUUAAGUCUCCUGAAGGAACGUUAAAGACGAUGACGUUGAUAGGUCGGGUGUGUAAGCGUAGCGAUACGUUGAGCUAACCGAUACUAAUGAACCGUGAGGCUUAACCUUACAACGCCGAAGGUGUUUUG
RNAcentral lists this ribosomal RNA (2924 nucleotides) under Klebsiella aerogenes EA1509E. Its description in RNAcentral is "LSU rRNA". It matches the Rfam family "Bacterial large subunit ribosomal RNA". Lineage: Bacteria; Pseudomonadati; Pseudomonadota; Gammaproteobacteria; Enterobacterales; Enterobacteriaceae. The record is from RNAcentral.